GGAGCCCUAUCCUUGACCCCGGCAACGUCACGGGUCAGCCCCCACCAGGGCCCCAGGCACGAAGCCACCCCACCGG
Molecule: transfer RNA, 76 nt
Filed under: Streptomyces hygroscopicus subsp. jinggangensis TL01
Lineage: Bacteria; Bacillati; Actinomycetota; Actinomycetes; Kitasatosporales; Streptomycetaceae
Description: tRNA-Arg
Source: RNAcentral